UCUAAGGACUUCUAAGCCUAACGGCUAGAAAUGAGAAGACUUCGGUCUUCACGGAAACUAUGUUUCCAGAGAAUCAUGUUCUCGCAGAGGUCUUUGAUCUCAAAGAGAUUCAUGCUCUCAAAGAGACUUCGGUCUCAAAACCAGCUCGUUUCGAGCUCAUCUAUCUUUAACUCGUUUAGUCUUGAGGGAUCAACCCUUGAGCAUGGUGCGAACCAUGUUCUUGAUGGCGUCAGCCUAAGGGAUUGAGAGCUCUUGUUCCUUGAAAACUGGAUAGCAAACUUUGUGAUUCAAGACAUCGAAUCAAUGUAUGAUCUUUCGAUAGCAUUAACUUAGGUUAAGCUACGAAGGGCGCACGGAGGAUGCCUUGGCGCCAGGUGCCGAUGAAGGACGGGGCAAACGCCGAUACGCUUCGGGGAGUCGUAAGCAGACUUUGAUCCGGAGAUUU
This 445-nucleotide unclassified non-coding RNA is filed under the name uncultured Actinomycetes bacterium. RNAcentral describes it as "uncultured actinobacterium partial contains 16S ribosomal RNA, 16S-23S ribosomal RNA intergenic spacer, and 23S ribosomal RNA". The stretch from base 333 to 445 matches the Rfam family "Bacterial large subunit ribosomal RNA", at positions 1 to 113 of the family's 2925-position model. The record is from RNAcentral. Lineage: Bacteria; Bacillati; Actinomycetota; Actinomycetes.